Molecule: ribosomal RNA, 472 nt
Filed under: Pseudomonas aeruginosa
Lineage: Bacteria; Pseudomonadati; Pseudomonadota; Gammaproteobacteria; Pseudomonadales; Pseudomonadaceae
Description: bacterial SSU rRNA
Rfam family: Bacterial small subunit ribosomal RNA
Source: RNAcentral
AUUGAACGCUGGCGGCAGGCCUAACACAUGCAAGUCGAGCGGAUGAAGGGAGCUUGCUCCUGGAUUCAGCGGCGGACGGGUGAGUAAUGCCUAGGAAUCUGCCUGGUAGUGGGGGAUAACGUCCGGGAACGGGCGCUAAUACCGCAUACGUCCUGAGGGAGAAAGUGGGGGAUCUUCGGACCUCACGCUAUCAGAUGAGCCUAGGUCGGAUUAGCUAGUUGGUGGGGUAAAGGCCUACCAAGGCGACGAUCCGUAACUGGUCUGAGAGGAUGAUCAGUCACACUGGAACUGAGACACGGUCCAGACUCCUACGGGAGGCAGCAGUGGGGAAUAUUGGACAAUGGGCGAAAGCCUGAUCCAGCCAUGCCGCGUGUGUGGAGAAGGUCUUCGGAUUGUAAAGCACUUUAAGUUGGGAGGAAGGGCAGUAAGUUAAUACCUUGCUGUUUUGACGUUACCAACAGAAUAAGCACCG